This 253-nucleotide ribosomal RNA is filed under the name uncultured bacterium. RNAcentral's name for it is "partial 16S ribosomal RNA". It matches the Rfam family "Bacterial small subunit ribosomal RNA", at positions 524 to 776 of the family's 1533-position model. The record is from RNAcentral.
UACGUAGGGUGCAAGCGUUGUCCGGAAUUAUUGGGCGUAAAGAGCUCGUAGGCGGUUUGUCGCGUCUGCUGUGAAAACUCAGGGCUUAACCCUGAGCCUGCAGGGGGUACGGGCAGACUAGAGUGUGGUAGGGGAGAUCGGAAUUCCUGGUGUAGCGGUGGAAUGCGCAGAUAUCAGGAGGAACACCGGUGGCGAAGGCGGAUCUCUGGGCCAUAACUGACGCUGAGGAGCGAAAGCAUGGGGAGCGAACAGG